AUGGGCUUUUGCUUCGAGAACGUCGUCUGUAGGGACUUCUUUAGCGGCCUCAGAAUCUUUGAUCUCAACUUCUUGUGUGGCUCCAUCUCCUUUCUUUGCUUCUGCUUCACUUCUAUUCAUGGCUUUUGCUCUUUUUCCUUUAUCUCUACUACACUUUCUUUCCUUACUUUUGGUUCUCUUUCAUUCAUGAUUUUGACUUCUGCUCUUGCUUUUCCUCCUCUUUUUGCUACAUUCUUCAUGGCCAUUAGCACUGCUCAACUGGUUCUCAUCCUUCUUAUAAGGAACCUCAAGCAUUGCGUCAAUAUCAAUAUCUUCUGCCAUUUUUUCUAAACACCUGUGCAGGCUUUCGGAUGCCUGUAGUGCUCAUAUUCGGAAAGUUGGCUGCUGCUAUUGCUACUAAGCCCUAGGUCCAGGCUGCAGUUCGGU
This 426-nucleotide long non-coding RNA is filed under the name Cavia porcellus (domestic guinea pig). RNAcentral describes it as "lncRNA (ENSCPOG00000034862.1)". Lineage: Eukaryota; Metazoa; Chordata; Mammalia; Rodentia; Caviidae. The record is from RNAcentral.